GUGAGGAAUCUUGCGCAAUGGGGGAAACCCUGACGCAGCAACGCCGCGUGAGUGAGGAAGGUCUUCGGAUCGUAAAGCUCUGUCGGUUGGGAAGAAACGCAUGGAGGCCAAUACCCUUCAUGCCUGACGGUACCAACAGAGGAAGCACCGGCUAACUCCGUGCCAGCAGCCGCGGUAAUACGGGGGGUGCAAGCGUUGUUCGGAAUCAUUGGGCGUAAAGAGCGUGUAGGCGGUUGGAUAAGUCAGAUGUGAAAGCCCUGGGCUCAACCCAGGAAGUGCAUUUGAAACUGUUCUACUUGAGUACGGGAGAGGAAAGUGGAAUUCCUGGUGUAGAGGUGAAAUUCGUAGAUAUCAGGAGGAACACCGGUGGCGAAGGCGACUUUCUGGCCCGAUACUGACGCUGAGACGCGAGAGCGUGGGGAGCAAACAGGAUUAGAUACCCCGGUAGUCC
RNAcentral lists this ribosomal RNA (451 nucleotides) under uncultured bacterium. RNAcentral describes it as "bacterial SSU rRNA". It matches the Rfam family "Bacterial small subunit ribosomal RNA", at positions 354 to 796 of the family's 1533-position model. The record is from RNAcentral.